AAUGCCUAGGAAUCUGCCUGGUAGUGGGGGAUAACGUUCGGAAACGGACGCUAACACCGCAUACGUCCUACGGGAGAAAGCAGGGGACCUUCGGGCCUUGCGCUAUCAGAUGAGCCUAGGUCGGAUUAGCUAGUUGGUGAGGUAAUGGCUCACCAAGGCGACGAUCCGUAACUGGUCUGAGAGGAUGAUCAGUCACACUGGAACUGAGACACGGUCCAGACUCCUACGGGAGGCAGCAGUGGGGAAUAUUGGACAAUGGGCGAAAGCCUGAUCCAGCCAUGCCGCGUGUGUGAAGAAGGUCUUCGGAUUGUAAAGCACUUUAAGUUGGGAGGAAGGGUUGUAGAUUAAUACUCUGCAAUUUUGACGUUACCGACAGAAUAAGCACCGGCUAACUCUGUGCCAGCAGCCGCGGUAAUACAGAGGGUGCAAGCGUUAAUCGGAAUUACUGGGCGUAAAGCGCGCGUAGGUGGUUUGUUAAGUUGGAUGUGAAAUCCCCGGGCUCAACCUGGGAACUGCAUUCAAAACUGACUGACUAGAGUAUGGUAGAGGGUGGUGGAAUUUCCUGUGUAGCGGUGAAAUGCGUAGAUAUAGGAAGG
RNAcentral lists this ribosomal RNA (596 nucleotides) under uncultured bacterium. Its description in RNAcentral is "bacterial SSU rRNA". It matches the Rfam family "Bacterial small subunit ribosomal RNA", at positions 112 to 704 of the family's 1533-position model. The record is from RNAcentral.